CGGCGCCAGGAGGCGAGGGCGGCUCCGGCGGCGCCCAUCCCCCUCUCCACUAGCAGCUGUUCUCGGAAUCCUUCUGGAUGCAACUUCAUUUCCCCUGGGGAGACUCUCCUGACCCUCCAGUCUGGGUUAGUCGCAUCCUGUGUGCUCUCAGACCCUGAGCUUUUCUCUGUCACAGCCUGAUCAAGCUGAAUCAUCUGUCCCUCUGUGCAAGGCUGGCACACUGCCCAAGGUGGAUCUUGACUGCCUUUCGUUUCAUUCACCAUUUACUGAAGUUGUGUGUGCGUGUGUAUACCAGACCCCACGCUAAGGACUGGGGAAAAGGAUGAUCAUACCUGGCUUGUUCCUGAUAGAGCCCAGAGACCACCUGGGAAGACAAGUAAUCAGUUCACAAGUCUUCAGGUUGAAAAGCUACACCCUAGGAACUACAGCUGAGGAGCCCACCUCCACAUCUGGAACUUAUUCAGAUGAUGAGAUCAUGGACCUUGAUCCUGAGUCUGACGCUGUAAUGUGCUGAAUUUUGCUGGGUGGGUAAGAGUAUCAAGGAGUGCCUCCUCUUGAGUCUGGGUGGCCUCUGCGAUUGCUUUGACCAAUAGAAUACUGCAGAAGUGACACUGUGCUACUUUCCAAGCCCAGGAAAUUCAGACUGGUAACUACUAUUUCCUGCCUCUUGGGAACACUGUCCCUUGGAGCCCACCACGUAUUUGGCUGGAGAGAUCAUAUUAAAACUACACGGAGAGAUAGAGGGGCCUAAAUGAAGCCAGCUUUCCAGCCACUCCUGCCAAGGCUUAAGGAAUAUGAGUGAAGGCUCAAGGCAUGUGAGUGAAUACCAUGCAGUGACCCCAACUGACUUCAUGUGGAACAGCAGAAGUGACCUGCCUAGCCCUGACUGAAUACCUGACCCACACAAUUAUGAGAAAUAAUAAAAUGGUUGUUGGGUUAAGCCACUAAGCUUUGGGGUAGUUUGUUACAUAGCAGUGGAUGACUGAAAUACUCCAUGACUUUGGGUCAGUGUCUCCUCUCUAGAACUAUUUCCCCAACUUCAGCAGUGUUAGGCUAGGUUAGGUGAACUCUAAAGGCCUUUAUAGCUCUGAUUUUCAGUUCCGAUGAAGACUAGUUGAAGUAGGUUGGGCUGCUUCUGAUGGCAUGUAGACAUUUGUUGGAUUACCAGAGGAACACACAAUUUAUAUAAUUAGGUACGC
This 1199-nucleotide long non-coding RNA is filed under the name Homo sapiens (human). RNAcentral's name for it is "HSALNT0292131". Lineage: Eukaryota; Metazoa; Chordata; Mammalia; Primates; Hominidae. The record is from RNAcentral.